This is an RNA transcript of Lytechinus pictus (painted urchin), 2801 nucleotides long. It is a transcript of the gene named 2,4-dienoyl-CoA reductase [(3E)-enoyl-CoA-producing], mitochondrial-like, with no coding region annotated. The record is from RefSeq and is a predicted model, not a curated record. Lineage: Eukaryota; Metazoa; Echinodermata; Echinoidea; Temnopleuroida; Toxopneustidae. The transcript is spliced from 4 exons.
CUAGCAGUGGAAUGGGGUCGUUAUGGAAUGAGGUUUAACUGCAUUGCACCUGGAGUAAUCUACACAAAGGGUGCCUUCGAUAGACUGGAUCCUACUGGUGAGUUCGCUAAGAAGCUUGUUGAAACUACCCCUACUGGUCGGAUGGGAGUACAGGAAGAGUUAACUAACCUUGCUUGUUAUCUAUGCAGUGAUUAUUCAAGCUGGUUUAAUGGAGAAGUGUUUAGGUUUGAUGGUGGCCAGACACUGCAGGCUUCAGGAAUGUUUAGUAGUUACCUUCAGCUCACCAAUGAAAACUGGGAUGAAACAGAAUCAAUGAUUAGAAAAACCAAAGGCUCAUAAUAUCGCAUGACAGUCAUUUGUAAAGAUGUUCCAUCAACACCAACUUAAAUUUCCUUCAUUAAAACAUGCUAGUAAUAUAUAUUUUAGAUAAAAUCUGGGAAUAGUUGUCAUCUGAGCCCACUUCAAGAAAGUCUUCACAUUUGUAUGAGGCCUUCGCUACAUAUGAUAACAAAAUAAAAAACAAAUGUGAAUAUGGUAAGAAUUUUGUUUGAAUGAAAGUCUAUUGGCUUAAAUAUGUCAAAACAUGUAACCAGCUCAAUAUUUCUUUCUUUGAUAAAGAUAGAGAGAGUUAAAUGAUUGCAUUUGUGUGAAGGCGAUUCACUAAACCUUAGCAUGGUAUCAAUCAUAACUCAUCAGUGUACAGUUUGCAUUAGUACCAUAACAAUAUGGUCUUCAAUCAGACCUGUCUUCUAUAUUUUAAAUGAGUUCCAUUGUAUUAUCAAUUUAUCCUCAAACUGGCCAUAGAGGAUACACAUUAAUUAUGUGGAGCUCAUCUGGCAUUGUGCAAAGAAAUUUACCACAAUUUUUUAUUUCAGCCCAGUUGACACUAGUGAAUUAUAUUGGUGACAUAAAUCGAGGAAACAGAAUUGAAAUUGAUGAAGAAAUUACAGAGUUCAAGAAGCUUUUUUUAUGAUUUAUGAAUAGAUUUUGUAUUAAUUAGUAUAAAUAAUUUAAAUUUCUGAAUUCUGUGUAGAAUCUUGGUGAACCUCAUGUAGCUCACAGAUCAGUCAAAUCAAAAUCAGUCAAAUAAGAAGCAUUUUUGGAGAGUUUUGAAAAAUAUACAUUAAUUAGCAUAUUUAAUGAGUUUCAAAAUUCUGUGUAGAAAUGUUGUAUCCCCACCUAGAGCUAUCAUAAAAAGCAAACAAAAUUGAAUUUGAUCAACAAAUGAAGUAGAAAAAGCAUUUUUUGUGAUUUAUGAAUAAAUCAGCAUAAUUUUCUAGUCAAAAUUUCAAAAUUCUGUGUACAAGUUUGGUGACCCUCAUGUAGCUCUACCAGAUGAAUGAAAAAAAAUAAAAUUGGUCAACAAUAAAAUAAAGAACAAGCAUUUUUUGUGAUUAUGAAUAAAUUUUGCAUAAAUUAGCAUAAAUAAUUUUGUAGCCAAAGUUUCUAAAUUCUGUGUACAAGUUUGGUGAACCUCAUGUAGCUCUACCAGAUGGAAGAAAAACAAAUCAAAAUCAGUCAACAAAUACAAAGAGGCACUUUCAGUUAUUUAUGAAUAAAUUUCGCAUAAAUUAGCAUAAAUUUUCUAGUCAAAAUUUCAAAAUUCUGUGUAAAAGUUUGGUGAACCUCAUGACGCUCAACUAGAAGGUAGAAAAAAAAAUCACAAUCAGUCAACAAAUAAAGGAGAAGCAUUUUUUGUAAAUUUUGAAAAAUGUGCAUAAAUUAGCAUAUUUAUGAUUUCAAAAUUUUAUGUGAUAUAUUUAAAUCCCAACCUAGUGCUAUCAUAUAGAGGAAACAGAAUUGAACUGGGACUCAAAAUGACGAAGAAGCAUUUUGAAAUUCAGUCAACAAAUAAAGAAGAGGCAUUUUCUGUGAUUUAUAGAUUUUGCAUAAAUUAGCAUAAAUAAUUUUCUACUCAAAAUUUCAAAAUUCUGUGUACAAGUUUGGUGAACCUCAUGAUGGUCUACCAGAUGGAAGGAAAAAAAAAUCAAAAUUGGUCAACAAAUAAAGAAGCAUUUUAUGUGAAUUUUUUUAAAUAUGCAUAAAUUAAUUUCGUAGAAAUUAGCAAAAGAUUUUCUCGUUAAAAUUUCCAAAUUCUGUGUAGAAGUUUGGUGAACCUCAUGAAGCUCUACCAGAUGAAAGCAAAAAAUCAAAAUCGGUCAAAAAAUAAAGAAGCAUUUUUGUGAAUUUUGAAAAAUGUGCAUAAAUCAGCAUAUUUAAUAAGUUUCAAAAUUCUGUGUAAAAGUUUUGAAUCCCCCACCUAGUGCUAUCAUAUAAAGCCAACAGAAUUGAAAUCAGACUUGAAAUGACAAAGAAGAAGCAUUUUGAAAUUGAUGACGGACGCCACGAUGUGCCUUCGAGCUAAAAAUGUGAAAAACUUGAUUAAUGUUUGUUAUCUUUGCUUGUUAUAUGAAGCGUGUCCAAACUGUAUUAUUAUAUAGUUGUUUUAUAUUCAUUUCAAUACCAAACCUAUGUUUCUACUUUGGAUUUUUCAAUUUAACUGGCCCUUUGCAGAAAAAAAUGCUGUUAAAUUGUGAAAAUCAAGUGCAAGUCUAACAUACACACUUCUGAUUAGUUAAAGUAAAUUUUGUUUGAUUUAUGGAAUAAUUGGUUGCAUCUCACAACAAUGAAAAUAAUUUUCUUAAGUCCACUUUACAUUCAUUAUGAAAUAUUCUUUUUUUCUGUUUGCAAAAUUAAAGCUGAUUUGAUGUCAGUCACACUUUUUGAUUCGAACUAAUUUCACUGGUGGAUAAAUAUCUGAAGACCAUCUGAAAUAAAUUAUAAACAUUCGUACAGACCCU